RNAcentral lists this ribosomal RNA (559 nucleotides) under Bambusiphaga basifusca. RNAcentral's name for it is "eukaryotic LSU rRNA". It matches the Rfam family "Eukaryotic large subunit ribosomal RNA", at positions 1367 to 1840 of the family's 3401-position model. The record is from RNAcentral. Lineage: Eukaryota; Metazoa; Arthropoda; Insecta; Hemiptera; Delphacidae.
UUAUGUCUUGACGAGUAAGAGGGUCGCGGCGGUGAGCGCAGAAGGGUCAGGGCGAGAGCCUGCCUGGAGCCGCCGUUGGCGCAGAUCUUGGUGGUAGUAGCAAAUACUCUAGCGAGGGCCUGGAGGACUGACGUGGAGAAGGGUUUCUUGUGAACAGCCGUUGCACAAGAGUCAGUCGACCCUGAGCCCUAGGAGAAAUCCAAUGUCGAUGGGUAGCUUGACAAAAGUUGUGUGUAACUUGUAAGUUACUCUACAAAAGUCUUAACUGCUCCUGUCGGGCAAAAGGGAAUCCGGUUCCUAUUCCGGAACCCGGCUGCGUAACCGCUACUUUGCGGGCACUUGCUUGCGAGCGCUCGUCGGGGUAACCCAAACUGGCCUGGAGACGCCGGCGGGGGGUCUGGAAAGAGUUUUCUUUUCUUUAUAAGCGUUCGAGUACCCUGGAAUCCUAUAGCAGGGAGAUAGGGUUUGGAACGCGAAGAGCACCGCAGUUGCGGCGGUGUCCGGACCUUCCCCCCGGACCUUGAAAAUCCAGGUGAGGGCCACGCGGAAGUCGCGCCGG